RNAcentral lists this unclassified non-coding RNA (255 nucleotides) under Basidiomycota sp. Its description in RNAcentral is "partial contains small subunit ribosomal RNA and internal transcribed spacer 1". The stretch from base 1 to 47 matches the Rfam family "Eukaryotic small subunit ribosomal RNA", at positions 1785 to 1831 of the family's 1831-position model. The record is from RNAcentral. Lineage: Eukaryota; Fungi; Basidiomycota.
AAAGUCGUAACAAGGUUUCCGUAGGUGAACCUGCGGAAGGAUCAUUAGUGAAUCUGUAGCCUCAAAGGCUCACAUUCUCUAUCCUUUACACACCUGUGCACCCUUCUGAAGCGGAGAGUUAUUAGGCACCCGUGCCGAGCACCUCCCUUCGGUUACCAUAUCAACUUCAAACUACGUUUACUAGAAUGUACGCCAUCUUGUUGUAAUGACAAGCACAAUCCAAUAAAACUUUCAGCAACAGAUCUCUUGGCUCAG